RNAcentral lists this ribosomal RNA (404 nucleotides) under Actinomycetes bacterium. RNAcentral describes it as "Actinobacteria bacterium partial 16S ribosomal RNA". It matches the Rfam family "Bacterial small subunit ribosomal RNA", at positions 355 to 776 of the family's 1533-position model. Lineage: Bacteria; Bacillati; Actinomycetota; Actinomycetes. The record is from RNAcentral.
UGGGGAAUAUUGGACAAUGGGCGCAAGCCUGAUCCAGCCAUGCCGCGUGAGUGAUGAAGGCCCUAGGGUUGUAAAGCUCUUUCACCGGUGAAGAUAAUGACGGUAACAGGAGAAGAAGCCCCGGCUAACUUCGUGCCAGCAGCCGCGGUAAUACGAAGGGGGCAAGCGUUGUUCGGAUUUACUGGGCGUAAAGCGCACGUAGGCGGACGUUUAAGUCAGGGGUGAAAUACCGGGGGUCAACCCCGGAACUGCCUUUGAUACUGGAAGUCUUGAGUGUGGUAGAGGUGAGUGGAAUUCCGGGUGUGGAGGGGAAAUUCGUAGAUAUUCGGAGGAAAACCAGUGGCGAAGGCGGCUCACUGGACCAUUACUGACGCUGAGGUGCGAAAGCGUGGGGAGCAAACAGG